AACGAACGCUGGCGGCGUGCUUAACACAUGCAAGUCGAACGGGUCUGCCCUGUUUUUUGCGGGGUGGGUCAGUGGCGAACGGGUGAGUAACACGUGAGUAACCUGCCCCUCACUUCUGGAUAACCGCUUGAAAGGGUGGCUAAUACGGGGUGUUCUGGCUGUGCCGCAUGGUGUGGCUGGGAAAGAUUCACUUUUGUGGUGUUUUGGUGGGGGAUGGGCUCGCGGCCUAUCAGCUUGUUGGUGGGGUGAUGGCCUGCCAAGGCUUUGACGGGUAGCCGGCCUGAGAGGGUGGGCGGUCACACUGGGACUGAGAUACGGCCCAGACUCCUGCGGGAGGCAGCAGUGGGGGGUAUUGCACAAUGGGCGGAAGCCUGAUGCAGCGACGUCGCGUGAGGGAUGGAGGCCUUCGGGUUGUGAACCUCUUUCGCCGGUGAAGAAGGUCCUGCUCUUUGUGGUGGGGUUGACGGUAGCCGGGUUAUGAAGCGCCGGCUAACUACGUG
RNAcentral lists this ribosomal RNA (500 nucleotides) under uncultured bacterium. Its description in RNAcentral is "partial 16S ribosomal RNA". It matches the Rfam family "Bacterial small subunit ribosomal RNA", at positions 28 to 507 of the family's 1533-position model. The record is from RNAcentral.